This 254-nucleotide ribosomal RNA is filed under the name uncultured bacterium. RNAcentral describes it as "partial 16S ribosomal RNA". It matches the Rfam family "Bacterial small subunit ribosomal RNA", at positions 524 to 776 of the family's 1533-position model. The record is from RNAcentral.
UACGUAGGCAGCAAGCGUUGUUCGGAGUCACUGGGCGUAAAGGGUGUGUAGGCGGUUAUUUAAGUUUGGUGUGAAAUCUCCCGGCUCAACCGGGAGGGUGCGCCGAAUACUGAAUGACUUGGAGUGCGGGAGAGGAAAGUGGAAUUCCUGGUGUAGCGGUGAAAUGCGUAGAUAUCAGGAGGAACACCGGUGGUGUAGACGGCUUUCUGGACCGUAACUGACGCUGAGACACGAAAGCGUGGGUAGCAAACAGG